RNAcentral lists this ribosomal RNA (437 nucleotides) under uncultured soil bacterium. RNAcentral describes it as "bacterial SSU rRNA". It matches the Rfam family "Bacterial small subunit ribosomal RNA", at positions 26 to 470 of the family's 1533-position model. The record is from RNAcentral.
AGGACGAACGCUGGCGGCGUGCUUAACACAUGCAAGUCGAGCGGUAAGGCCUUUCGGGGUACACGAGCGGCGAACGGGUGAGUAACACGUGGGUGAUCUGCCCUGCACUUCGGGAUAAGCCUGGGAAACUGGGUCUAAUACCGGAUACGAGCUUCCACCGCAUGGUGAGGAGCUGGAAAGAAUUUCGGUCUGGGAUGGACUCGCGGCCUAUCAGCUUGUGGUGAGGUAAUGGCUCACCAAGGCGACGACGGGUAGCCGGCCUGAGAGGGUGACCGGCCACACUGGGACUGAGACACGGCCCAGACUCCUACGGGAGGCAGCAGUGGGAAUAUUGCACAAUGGGCGCAAGCCUGAUGCAGCAACGCCGCGUGAGGGACGAAGGCCUUCGGGUUGUAAACCUCGUUUAGUAGGUAAGAAGACGAGGUGUUUAGUUCUAC